RNAcentral lists this ribosomal RNA (239 nucleotides) under uncultured Lactobacillus sp. Its description in RNAcentral is "partial 16S ribosomal RNA". It matches the Rfam family "Bacterial small subunit ribosomal RNA", at positions 122 to 354 of the family's 1533-position model. The record is from RNAcentral. Lineage: Bacteria; Bacillati; Bacillota; Bacilli; Lactobacillales; Lactobacillaceae.
UAACCUGCCCAAGAGAUCGGGAUAACACCUGGAAACAGAUGCUAAUACCGGAUAACAACAGAUGAUGCCUAUCAACUGUUUAAAAGAUGGUUCUGCUAUCACUCUUGGAUGGACCUGCGGUGCAUUAGCUAGUUGGUAGGGUAACGGCCUACCAAGGCGAUGAUGCAUAGCCGAGUUGAGAGACUGAUCGGCCACAUUGGGACUGAGACACGGCCCAAACUCUACGGGAGGCAGCAGGC